GAGAGCGGCGCACGGGUGCGGAACACGUGUGCAACCUGCCUUUAUCUGGGGGAUAGCCUUUCGAAAGGAAGAUUAAUACCCCAUAAUAUAUUGAGUGGCAUCACUUGAUAUUGAAAACUCCGGUGGAUAGAGAUGGGCACGCGCAAGAUUAGAUAGUUGGUGAGGUAACGGCUCACCAAGUCAAUGAUCUUUAGGGGGCCUGAGAGGGUGAUCCCCCACACUGGUACUGAGACACGGACCAGACUCCUACGGGAGGCAGCAGUGAGGAAUAUUGGACAAUGGGUGAGAGCCUGAUCCAGCCAUCCCGCGUGAAGGACGACUGCCCUAUGGGUUGUAAACUUCUUUUAUACUGGGAUAAACCUACCCUUCGUGAGGGUAGCUGAAGGUACAGUAUGAAUAAGCACCGGCUAACUCCGUGCCAGCAGCCGCGGUAAUACGGAGGGUGCAAGCGUUAUCCGGAUUUAUUGGGUUUAAAGGGUCCGUAGGCGGACUCGUAAGUCAGUGGUGAAAUCUCAUAGCUUAACUAUGAAACUGCCAUUGAUACUGCGGGUCUUGAGUAAAGUAGAAGUGGCUGGAAUAAGUAGUGUAGCGGUGAAAUGCAUAGAUAUUACUUAGAACACCAAUUGCGAAGGCAGGUCACUAUGUUUUAACUGACGCUGAUGGACGAAAGCGUGGGGAGCGAACAGGAUUAGAUACCCUGGUAGUCCACGCCGUAAACGAUGCUAACUCGUUUUUGGGUUUUCGGAUUCAGAGACUAAGCGAAAGUGAUAAGUUAGCCACCUGGGGAGUACGUUCGCAAGAAUGAAACUCAAAGGAAUUGACGGGGGCCCGCACAAGCGGUGGAUUAUGUGGUUUAAUUCGAUGAUACGCGAGGAACCUUACCAAGGCUUAAAUGGGAAUUGACAGGUUUAGAAAUAGAUCCUUCUUCGGACAAUUUUCAAGGUGCUGCAUGGUUGUCGUCAGCUCGUGCCGUGAGGUGUUAGGUUAAGUCCUGCAACGAGCGCAACCCCUGUCACUAGUUGCCAUCAUUCAGUUGGGGACUCUAGUGAGACUGCCUACGCAAGUAGAGAGGAAGGUGGGGAUGACGUCAAAUCAUCACGGCCCUUACGCCUUGGGCCACACACGUAAUACAAUGGCCGGUACAGAGGGCAGCUACUAUGCGAAUAGAUGCGAAUCUCGAAAGCCGGUCUCAGUUCGG
Molecule: ribosomal RNA, 1198 nt
Filed under: Chryseobacterium aquaticum
Lineage: Bacteria; Pseudomonadati; Bacteroidota; Flavobacteriia; Flavobacteriales; Weeksellaceae
Description: bacterial SSU rRNA
Rfam family: Bacterial small subunit ribosomal RNA
Source: RNAcentral